Molecule: long non-coding RNA, 3452 nt
Organism: Catharus ustulatus (Swainson's thrush)
Lineage: Eukaryota; Metazoa; Chordata; Aves; Passeriformes; Turdidae
Exons: 4
Source: RefSeq, a predicted model, not a curated record
GGCCUCACCGAGCCGACCGGGCCCCUCGGCCGCGGCAGGGGCGGUAGCGCUGCCGUGUCUGACAGCCCAGGUCAUGGACUUAUGUGAAACAUUGUCCAGUUAAGGCAGUCUUGACUCAUUGUUUCCAGCUGCUACUCAACCUGAGGUAUUUCCUGAGAGUCACAGAGAGGACUAUUUUUUUUUAUGAAGAGCUAUCUGAUGCCUGUAUCUACCGGCUACUGGAUAGAAAAUACAUAUAAAGCGGACAAAUAUUCCAAAAUCACAACGGCAGAACAGUUAACUGAAAACAUUACCGAAGGUCAGCCACAAUAUUUAUGUGAGAAUCCACAGCUUCCAUGCACAAAGCUGGAUGUGGUAAAGAUGCACCGUGUUGAGCACCUCAAAAAGAAAAAGACAGUUUCAAAAGGUUGCCACUGAGCCUGGCAGAAGGCACCAACAGCCCGAGUCACUGAGGGCACAAAGAUUUUUGGGAGGGUUUAAUCUACUGAAUGGCCUUUAUAAAAUGUCUGAAGACAGCUAUGCUCAGAACCAUCUUUGGCUCUCCAAAGAUCUAUUGUAGGGAGAAAUGUUAAAAUACCACACAUUGUUUGUUUGUUGGGAAACUGGGUCAUAAAACACCCUAUUGUAAAGACAGUGAGCAAAAUGGAAAAUGAAAUGUGGCCUAAGACCCUUCACUAGCAGUAUUCUGUAUUUUGGCCAAGAAUUAUGGCAUACAACAACAGAAACAGAGUUGUAAUGGCUGCCUACAGUAAUUAUGGAGACACUUUCACUACAUGCCAUAAUACCAAGCAGUGAUUUAUGCAGAGACAGGAUUAGCACUCUAGAUUUUUCGACUCCUUUUUAAGUAACAUACUUUAUAGCAUAAGACCAUUGCCUUCUGCAAAACCUAUUUUUUAAGACGAUGUUUCCAUGACACAUCCCCUACUCUUCUUGCCUCUUCCUGUCUUACCUUCCCUGAUUAAUUUCCGAUUAGUAUCUGCAUCAGAGGUUACUGGGCAAAUUUUCGCAAGAUCAGAGUAUUUCCAAGCUGUAUCAUCAGCAUAUUUUAGCUGCAAAUGCUCUUUGCUAAGUCCUUGGAAGAUUAUGUAUUUGAGAGUAAUCCUGCAAUGGCAGAGUGGCAGUCUUAAAGGCACUGUGCUGGGAAAAGCAGCAGAACGAGACUGUCAAAGAAUUAGCCCAAAAGCUUGUUCCAUGAAUUUUUAUUUCCUCGACAUUUCAGAGUAUUUGGCUUUAUUCAUUAAUCUCAACUAGUUUACUGAUUUCUCUAGCUCAAAUAUCUUCAAGUAAUUUUUUUUUUUGUAAUAAAAUUGUGAUAGUGCAAUUCUGUUGAUCCUCUUCUUAGGGCUUUCCCUUUACUUCAGUCCAGAAUGCCUCCCAGGAAUUUGUUCAUAAAAGAGAUCUUCAUAAAGUACUGUAAUAUUUUUCAUGUUUACACCUGUGAUCCAGAUCUAUUUAUUUUCCUGCUGAAACAAUGUAGAAGAAGGGAAAACAAAUGUGCCAUAUAUGCUGUUUUGGAGAUGUGACCUUUUUCAGUCUACCAGAAUUCUUUCUUCCAGUAUACAUUCCCACACUGCCUUCAAACCUCACUUGAAGCUAAGGGUUUUCCAACAACUACGUGAUAUGAAUAAUGCGUUUGUCAGAUGUGGUUUACUUUGUCCCCUUUCCUCCAAAGAGCUGCAUAGGCAGUUCAAGUUGUGGAGGGGUGGGGAAAGAUCUGUUUCUAAUGCAGUUGUAUUAGAGAAGGCAAAGUUCAAAGAGUGGAUCUUGCACUUACCUCAAAGGUAUCAAGUUUUACAAGGGCCCUCAGUUCCUUUCCACCCGCCCCCCCCACCAAGAUCUGAGAAUAAGCUCCCAGACUUGAAGAAUCACAAUACCUCGAGAGCUACAUGGCACUGUUUGUUUCACUGCUAUUAAUCCUGCAUGGAUUGCACAGCCUGUUCUGCAAAAACUACAGACAACGCUACUGUACCAGACCUGCUUUUAUUGAUGCUCUAAAACACAAAAGCUCAAAAAAAGCUUACUCAAGAGAAUUUUGCACACUGUUAGGUGCAGGUCUGCAGUUCUGCAGACAGAAGAUAGAAAUGUGUCAAGAAGAAUGUCAAAGACUCAUCCCUCAAGAGCACUCGUUUGUUUUUGGAAUUUUCAUCCGUACUGAGCAUCCCCUCCUAGCAAGCUAUUUUAGGAGUGUUUCAAGUUUGGUUCAGGUGUGUUCAUCCCCUGACAGCAGUGCAAGAACUUUUAAGUAGCUACUGUGAGAUCAGACUGCCUUUUGACCUGGUUAAUAAAUGUUUACAAGUCUCAUUUCUAGAUAAGGAAAGCAAAGUCAAGGCAGAUUUUGUAUGUCAUCCUCAGCUGCUAGAAUUUACAGCUCCGCAUUAAGGAAAUCACAGUCAAAUAACAUGCUUCCGUCAGUAUCUGGACAGGGUCAGGAGGAUUUGUUCCCCAGUGUACAAUUAGCCAGAUGUAUUUUGUUUGUAUAGCAGCAGAAAAACAAGCCAAAUUUGGUAGGCUAUCUGGAAACAAACAUCAUCCAGGGCAGAUCUGGACUCCAAGCUAAUAAGAAAAACCCAUUUUCUGGAACAUGUAGCUUGUGUCUUGCUUAUGUGCUUGGUGUCAAACUGACCACCAAACCUGGGGUCAGGAAGGAAUUCUACAGUUUAGGGGAAGCCACUACUUCCUAGAGAAUAGCAAUCCUCGAGGAACACGGAGCUCCUAAUAGAUUUCCCAUAACUGCAGGCAAUCUGAGUAACAAUACUGUCUCGUCUGUUGUGGCACACUGUUCUAGAGACUUAAAUACUCUGGUGAGAGUUUUAUCUGAAAGUGCAGUAUACUCAGUAGAAGCGUGAAAUUUAACCACUUGCUGUUAUCAGGGAGAUGUCACUAGAAGAGCCUUUCUGGUUCCCCUCGGCUGUGAAAUGACAGGUUCUGCAGGUGAAGAACCUGGCCCCAGCGGAAUCACAGCAAAACCUUCACCAGGGCACAACUUCACACAGAAGUUCAUCACAAAGUUAUAGGAAAUUGAUAAACACUAUAAUUUUGAAGAGUCAGUCUGGUAAUUCAGAGCCUGAUUGCACAAGAGACUGUGAAAGCAAAUGAAAACAGCAAGACACUGUUUAUGUGCUGCUGGACAUUUUUCAAGUUUUCAUUCCCUUCUGAAAGAGCUUAGAGUAAGUUACAUUACUCCCAAUUAAAAAUUGGUUUUGAUUACGGGAGCACAGAAAUUGCAACCAAAAACCUUUAUAUUCUAGGCAGUUUUGCAUUUCAAAAACUUUAAAAGCCGCUGGUGUUUUUUUCUUCAUUGCUGUUUGCAGAGGGGAGGCGACAGCAGCGCCAGGAGUUUGGGUGCUGUUUGGGGGCGGCGGGGAGGCAGCUCUUUGUUCCUUCACUUCAGCCAGCCCAAGUUCCGAGGCGAAGUUCCCCGAAGCACACAAGCACCAGGCUCUGCGAACACG